This 2039-nucleotide long non-coding RNA is filed under the name Carica papaya (papaya). RNAcentral describes it as "long non-coding RNA (CPAP_LNC014529)". Lineage: Eukaryota; Viridiplantae; Streptophyta; Magnoliopsida; Brassicales; Caricaceae. The record is from RNAcentral.
CAAUUUUUUAUCUGUUAUAUAUAUGAUACAAGCUCUGUAUAUAACCUCCUCUAGUGGUGUCCUACUCCCAAUAGUAGAUACAAACAAUAUAAAAUCAAGUCGUUCAUGUAAUACAUUCAAUUUUGGUGUAAAAACAUAUGAGACAAAUGAAUGUGAUGCACCAGUAUCAAUCAAAAUAUUUACAAGAUGAUUACAGAUAGUGUACGUACCCUGUAUCACGUCUGUGUUGGCUUUUGCAUCUUACUGAGUGAGGUUGUAAGCUCUGCCCUAGAUAGGAAGUAUGGCCUGUUUCUGAUUCAUCGAGAACUCUCUCAUGUAGUUCUGGGCACUCCCAUAUAUACAGCAAGUAUUGUUGAGGCGAUAGCAGGGUCAGUCCUCAUGAUCAUUGUCAUAGUGCUGACAAGUCCUACCGCAUCUUUUUACCGAAAUAUGAGGAUGAGCCUGAAUAACUGGUGUAGGUCUCUAAGGUGCAAUGGGUGCCGAUCUGCGGUGUGAAAUCAAGGGCCUAAGGUUCCCCACUGCUGGAGAAAAAAGUUCAUCUCCACUAGCUGUGCUUUGGCCAGAAUGGCUGAGUAAGUGCUGAGUUCGAACAAAUAUAGCUACUGUCUAAUCUUAUGACAGAGGCUCCACUCGAACUUCCUUGCCUUUCUGCCUUCAUCCAUCAUGAUCUCAGGGGAAUACCAGUCUAACUUUAAGAACUUUCGGACAUUCUCUGACACAAUCAUAUCACCCCUGGACUAGAUGUGCACUCCAUUUUUUUCAGAUGUCGGAGAUGCUCUAGGAGAUACUCUCCAUUGAAGGCCAUCAAAAACUGUUCCCAAAUGACUGGAACGGGCAAGGUGACUUACUUGAGUUGCCACCAGGGACCUGCCACUCCCACCAUCAUGUAGGUGACAAGUAUAACUCUCUAUUCGAAAACCACCCCGAGAGUCGUAAAAACCUUCUCUAUCUCACAUAACCAAUACUCAGCUUAUUCAAAGGAGGAUGCCCCUACAAAAGUAGAUGAUUUUAGUCUUUUAUACCUCUCAAUGUAGCUUGGGUCCAUCAUGGGUGGAACUGAGUCUCGUGGAAGAGGGACUCAAUUGUACUGGGGAGGGACUGAAUGACCCUAUGGUGGUGCUGAAUUAUAUGGUGAAGGCACCAAAUUGUACUAUGGUGGUGUCGGGUGAUGCAGUGGGGGCACCGGAUUAUACUGUAAUGGUGCUAGAUGGUAUUGUAGAAGAGCAAGAUUGUACCGGGGUGGUUCACGAUCCUUCCGCUGCAGGGGUGGCUUAAACUGUGGCAGCGAGAGAGGGUCAGGUAGCUCCCUCCUUUCCUUCCGGGCCUGUUAGGCAACAAUGAGUCUCUCCAGCAUUUCAAAUAGUUGAUCAAUAUCCUCUCGAAGCGAACCCUCUCAGGCUGCUCAGUUUAAUGGGGGUCGUCCUCUCUUAAUCUAUCUGUACCUGUACUUCACAAUGAAUAGUUGAGUGAUAAUUCAUUUUUUUGGUAUUUUCUUAGGUCUUUGUGUAAGGAAUGGCUCCGAGGAACUUGGCUCUAAUACCAACUGUAAAGGUCCAGAACCUUGGAUAAAAUAACAUCAUAAAUUAAAUACGGAAGCGAGAUAAUUGAGUUAGGGUUUACAUUUCUUACAUAAUAAUUUAAAAUAUCCAACAGGGCUACGAGAAUAUCCCUUCUGAAAGAACAAAUGAAAACCAAAGAAAUAAACAAGAGACAAAUCACUAAGCAAUCCAAGGACGACCUUCACUAGUUCUUGAAGGGAGUUUAGGUGGUGAACUAUUCACAACUUUCUCGUUGAUUGGGAUCUAGAUCUUGGUCCUCUUGAUAUGAAAUAGUUAAUGAAGGGGUGAGCUACACUAGCUUAAUAAGAAUAUCACACUAAUCACGGAUAUAGAAAAUUAAAAAUUGAUAAAAAUCAGAAAAACAACCAAUGGAACCCCUUAAUUUAAUAUAAAUUCAUUUACUAUAAAGAAAGCCAUUUAUUCCAUUUUGUGUAAUAAGUCUUUCCCAAUAACUUAAGAAAACUCAUAUUCAUACACUAU